RNAcentral lists this ribosomal RNA (34 nucleotides) under Bremia lactucae (lettuce downy mildew). RNAcentral describes it as "partial 18S ribosomal RNA". RNAcentral also lists the same sequence under 222 other names. The record is from RNAcentral. Lineage: Eukaryota; Oomycota; Peronosporomycetes; Peronosporales; Peronosporaceae.
GGUUUCCGUAGGUGAACCUGCGGAAGGAUCAUUA